CUAGAGAGUGAUCAGUUGCACACUGGUGGAGCCAUGAAAGUAUCAGGUGAUACAGGCACCACUCAGUACCACCCUGGUGACAAAAUCAAGUGCACGGGGGAGGGGGAGGAAUCAAC
This 116-nucleotide small nucleolar RNA is filed under the name Nannospalax galili (Upper Galilee mountains blind mole rat). Its description in RNAcentral is "Small nucleolar RNA SNORD67 (ENSNGAG00000007941.1)". It matches the Rfam family "Small nucleolar RNA SNORD67". Rfam says of the family: snoRNA HBII-166 belongs to the C/D family of snoRNAs. The record is from Rfam by way of RNAcentral. Lineage: Eukaryota; Metazoa; Chordata; Mammalia; Rodentia; Spalacidae.